Columba livia (rock pigeon) is the source of this 1998-nucleotide long non-coding RNA. RefSeq lists it as uncharacterized. NCBI's taxonomy places the organism in Eukaryota, Metazoa, Chordata, Aves, Columbiformes, Columbidae. The record is from RefSeq and is a predicted model, not a curated record. The transcript is spliced from 2 exons.
CAAAUAUUGCCCUUUACUGUCCACUGAAAUCCUCCUAAGUGGCUGCUGUGAUCCAAAUAAGCUCUGCUCUCGGGAUGGCAGAGCACAGUGCGAGUUAUUUUAUUUUGUAGUACAAAUGCAUCCUGGAUUGAGUGUCUGAGGCAGGCAAUUCAGUAAGUGUAAAUAAUAACUGAUUUUGACAGAAAUGCUAUGUACACUAGAGACUCUUCGGACGAGCAGAGAGCAGCUUUCACACAUUUUUUCCAGCUACAUUGUAGAACCAAAUGCAGAAAUCCAGAUUUGUGACACUCUGGGUGAUUCUUUCUCCCCUACUGGAAAAAAGAAGAAAGGACUGCAGUGCUUCACUGGCAUGGCUUUUUGCCUGUGAUAAAUGCAUUGACGUGACUUUUUCAGUAAUUAUUCACUUUCCUUAACAGGUUUGAGAGAGAGGAGUUCCCUGACAGUAUUAUGGAAAGAAGCAACAACCGCAGUGUGGCAAAGAGGAGGAACAAGGCGUGCGAUGUGUCCUCGGCUGCAGCUCUGCCCUACAGUCAAAUGCUGCGCUCUCCCCCGCAAAACAUAAAGGUGUUGUAGUCAUAGAGGUUGAAUACAAUGUGCAAGGAUGCUCCGUGUGAACAUCACUCUGCAGCCACUACAAGAAGGACAGUUCUGCACCUGCUAGAAAAAGGUAAAGUGGAGAAAUCUCUGUCCUAAUCCUGUAGCAAUUAACAGCUGCUUUCCAUUGUAACAGGACAUGUGGAGCCUAAAUAUGUACCACAGUGGUUUUGGGGUCAGGGCGAAGGUUGGGGGUCACACCAUGCAACACUUUAGUCCUCACCACUGCAGCCAGCAAGAGGUGAAAGAGCCCAAAUUACAGUGUUGCAUUAGCAUUUGAUAACAAAUGCUCCGCUCGUCAAUUGUAAGUUUUAUCUUCGUUUCACGGCUGGGAUAAACACAUCGUUAGGAAAAGUUAUUUAGGAAGGUCAUGCAGCAGAGCGAUGACAAAACCCCGGUGUUUCCAAAACCCCAGCUUGGUGCCCAGGGCUGUGCUCCCAGGAUCCCAAACACGGCCCCUGGCGGUGGUUCGAGGGAAACCGCCAUGGGAAGGGAAUCGUGCAUCCCCUCCUAUCCAGCAAAUACUUUUUCUCUAGCCACAGAAAACAGGGUAGAAAAAGGUGCAGGAGUGGUGAUGGGAAGAGACUCCUGAAAGAUGCAUAUAUAUAUAUAUUUAUUUAAUAUAUAUUCGUAUAUCUAAAAUGUGUGUGUAUAUAUCUAAAUGUGUGUGUGUGCAUGUCACACACAAAAUUCUAUAUUAGAUAUCUGUUAGAACGAGUUUCCCCUCUCAGUCUGAGACACAAUCUAUUUGUCAUAUCCAUAAAUGUAAUUUUUUUUCACUUAGGACCUGACCUUGGCCAGGUUGCUGGAAUAGUUGGGUUAGGAGAAUAAUCUGCAGCUGAUCCUUCAUAAAACAGGCUCUUUUUUAAGAGGGUAUGACUUUCUUCAAGUAUAAACUUUUAAUACAAAAGAUAUUUUCUGCACGUUACGUGUGCACCUGACGCAUAGAGCAAGAGUCCUCAUCUGAAUAGAGCUGUGCUGGGUUAUCGUACCCACCGAGAGCCAUCAUUGCCACGCUGUUCUUUAUGACCCACGUCAGAAGAAUCAUUUGAACAAAUACAAAGUCCUUUUAGGAAAUUAAGAUUUCUUAUUUAUUUGGAGGAAAAAACCAACAAAACUCAAUCAUUUUAUUACUUACUGGCAAAGUCAUUCUUGCUACAUUACCUAUUUUAAAACUCACAUCUCAUUCAAUUAAGAUUUCAUACCACUGACGAAAUGAUGCUGUCCUGAAAAACAAUACUGCAAAAGCUGCUAUAUACAAGCCCAUAAAUAAACGGCAAGAUUUUCAGGCUUCAAAAGACUGAGGACAAGAAGAGAUUGUUGGAAGAUUCAUUUGAGCUUUUCUUAUUCAGUACAUUUGCUGCAUUCGCUAUCAACAAAAUACAUUGAAUCAAACAAAAAGAA